UCCGUAGGUGAACCUGCGGAAGGAUCAUUAAUAGUGCCCUCUGAUGCAAAUCAUUGGGUUAGAUCUGCUCUCUUCGCAAGAAGAGGGUUUCCAUACACACCGUGAACUGUGGCUUCGGCCAUCACAAACUGUUAGUAAUGAAUGUAAUAUCAUAACAAAAACAAAACUUUUAACAACGGAUCUCUUGGCUCUCGCAUCGAUGAAGAACGCAGCGAAAUGCGAUAAGUAAUGUGAAUUGCAGAAUUCAGUGAAUCAUCGAAUCUUUGAACGCACCUUGCGCCCUUUGGUAUUCCGAAGGGCAUGCCUGUUUGAGUGUCAUGAAACCUCACCCCACUUGGGUUUUUGCCUGAGCGGUGGUGUAUUGGGUGUUGCCUUGCUAAAGGCUCGCCUUAAAGACAUAAGCACCUUGGAUGUAAUACGUUUCAUCCUUCUGGGUGGCUGAUAACCCCACAUAUUCAUGAUCUGGCCUCAAAUCAGGUAGGGCUACCCGCUGAACUUAAGCAUAUCAAUAAGCGGAGGAA
This 521-nucleotide ribosomal RNA is filed under the name uncultured fungus. Its description in RNAcentral is "eukaryotic LSU rRNA". The stretch from base 165 to 318 matches the Rfam family "5.8S ribosomal RNA". The record is from RNAcentral. Lineage: Eukaryota; Fungi.